GGCGGUGUAUCCGAAUUGGUACAGGAGGGGGUCUUAAAAACCCCUGGCCUUCGGGCCGUGUGGGUUCGAAUCCCACCACCGCUACCA
RNAcentral lists this transfer RNA (87 nucleotides) under Coriobacteriia bacterium. RNAcentral describes it as "tRNA-Leu". It matches the Rfam family "tRNA". From Rfam's summary of the family: Transfer RNA (tRNA) molecules are approximately 80 nucleotides in length. Their secondary structure includes four short double-helical elements and three loops (D, anti-codon, and T loops). Further hydrogen bonds mediate the characteristic L-shaped molecular structure. tRNAs have two regions of fundamental functional importance: the anti-codon, which is responsible for specific mRNA codon recognition, and the 3' end, to which the tRNAs corresponding amino acid is attached (by aminoacyl-tRNA synthetases). tRNAs cope with the degeneracy of the genetic code in two manners: having more than one tRNA (with a specific anti-codon) for a particular amino acid; and 'wobble' base-pairing, i.e. permitting non-standard base-pairing at the 3rd anti-codon position. Lineage: Bacteria; Bacillati; Actinomycetota; Coriobacteriia. The record is from RNAcentral.